This 72-nucleotide transfer RNA is filed under the name Camelus bactrianus (Bactrian camel). It matches the Rfam family "tRNA". Rfam says of the family: Transfer RNA (tRNA) molecules are approximately 80 nucleotides in length. Their secondary structure includes four short double-helical elements and three loops (D, anti-codon, and T loops). Further hydrogen bonds mediate the characteristic L-shaped molecular structure. tRNAs have two regions of fundamental functional importance: the anti-codon, which is responsible for specific mRNA codon recognition, and the 3' end, to which the tRNAs corresponding amino acid is attached (by aminoacyl-tRNA synthetases). tRNAs cope with the degeneracy of the genetic code in two manners: having more than one tRNA (with a specific anti-codon) for a particular amino acid; and 'wobble' base-pairing, i.e. permitting non-standard base-pairing at the 3rd anti-codon position. Lineage: Eukaryota; Metazoa; Chordata; Mammalia; Artiodactyla; Camelidae. RNAcentral also lists the same sequence under 1 other name. The record is from Rfam by way of RNAcentral.
GAGGGCACAACUCAGUGGUAGGGCUCGUGCGUAGCAUGCAUGAGGUCCUGGGUUCAAUCCCCAGUGCCUCCA